CUCAUUCGGAUUGGAGUCUGCAACCCGACUCCAUGAAGCUGGAUUCGCUAGUAAUCGCGCAUCAGCCACGGCGCGGUGAAUACGUUCCCGGGCCUUGUACACACCGCCCGUCAAGCCAUGGAAGCCGGGAGUGCCUGAAGUGCGUGAGCGCAAGCAGCGCCCUAAGGUAAAACCGGUGACUGGGGCUAAGUCGUAACAAGGUAGC
RNAcentral lists this ribosomal RNA (205 nucleotides) under uncultured bacterium. RNAcentral describes it as "partial 16S ribosomal RNA". It matches the Rfam family "Bacterial small subunit ribosomal RNA", at positions 1288 to 1500 of the family's 1533-position model. The record is from RNAcentral.